This 869-nucleotide ribosomal RNA is filed under the name uncultured bacterium. Its description in RNAcentral is "bacterial SSU rRNA". It matches the Rfam family "Bacterial small subunit ribosomal RNA", at positions 45 to 919 of the family's 1533-position model. The record is from RNAcentral.
AGCUAUACAUGCAGUCGAGGGGCAGCGCAGUGUAGCAAUACAUGGGCGGCGACCGGCAAACGGGUGCGGAACACGUACACAACCUUCCUUUUAGUGGAGCAUAGCCCAGGGAAACUUGGAUUAAUACUCCGUAAUAUAAUGAGAUGGCAUCAUUUUGUUAUUAUAGAAGCAAUUCGCUAGAAGACGGGUGUGCGGCUGAUUAGAUAGUUGGCGGGGUAACGGCCCACCAAGUCCACGAUCAGUAACUGGUGUGAGAGCACGACCAGUCACACGGGCACUGAGACACGGGCCCGACUCCUACGGGAGGCAGCAGUAAGGAAUAUUGGUCAAUGGACGCAAGUCUGAACCAGCCAUGCCGCGUGGAGGAUGAAGGCCCUCUGGGUUGUAAACUUCUUUUAUAGGGGACGAAAAAGGGUCUUUCCAGAUCAACCGACGGUACCCUAGGAAUAAGCACCGGCUAACUCCGUGCCAGCAGCCGCGGUAAUACGGAGGGUGCAAGCGUUAUCCGGAUUCACUGGGUUUAAAGGGUGCGUAGGUGGGUUAGUAAGUCAGUGGUGAAAUCUUCGAGCUUAACUCGGAAACUGCCAUUGAUACUAUUAGUCUUGAAUAUUGUGGAGGUUAGCGGAAUAUGUCAUGUAGCGGUGAAAUGCUUAGAUAUGACAUAGAACACCAAUUGCGAAAGCAGCUGGCUACACAUAUAUUGACACUGAGCGCGAAAGCGUGGGGAUCAAACAGGAUUAGAUACCCUGGUAGUCCACGCCCUAACUAUGGAUACUCGACAUACGCGAUACACUGUGUGUGUCUGAGCGAAAGCAUAAGUAUCCCACCUGGGAGUACGAUCGCAGAUGAAACUCAAAGAUUGGCAGGUC